This 252-nucleotide long non-coding RNA is filed under the name Lathyrus oleraceus (garden pea). RNAcentral describes it as "Pisum sativum (pea) long non-coding RNA (PSAT_LNC013948)". Lineage: Eukaryota; Viridiplantae; Streptophyta; Magnoliopsida; Fabales; Fabaceae. The record is from RNAcentral.
AAACUGAAAAACUUGGGACAAGAUUUUGCAAUUUGGAUUUAGCCGAGUGAAAACUUUGAAGAAAGGAGUUUCUGUUAAAGGAGUAGCAUAACCGGAGGAUCAAUUGGAAAUCUCGGGAGACUUUAUCUUGCUUAAGAUCAAGGAAGAUAAGAAGAUAGAAUCAACAUCAAAUUUAGGAUUUGGGGGUUUGGAUUUCUAUUUCUCUCUUGUAUACAACUUUUGCAAAGGUUAAUUGAAUAUAUCAAUUUCAUU